GUGGGGAAUAUUGGACAAUGGGCGCAAGCCUGAUCCAGCCAUGCCGCGUGAGUGAUGAAGGCCUUAGGGUUGUAAAGCUCUUUCAGUGGGGACGAUAAUGACGGUACCCACAGAAGAAGCCCCGGCUAACUUCGUGCCAGCAGCCGCGGUAAUACGAAGGGGGCUAGCGUUGUUCGGAUUUACUGGGCGUAAAGCGCACGUAGGCGGAUCGUUAAGUCGGGGGUGAAAUCCUGGAGCUCAACUCCAGAACUGCCUUCGAUACUGGCGAUCUUGAGUCCGGAAGAGGUGAGUGGAACUCCUAGUGUAGAGGUGGAAUUCGUAGAUAUUAGGAAGAACACCAGUGGCGAAGGCGGCUCACUGGUCCGGUACUGACGCUGAGGUGCGAAAGCGUGGGGAGCAAACAGGAUUAGAAACCCGGGUAGUCC
Molecule: ribosomal RNA, 425 nt
Filed under: uncultured bacterium
Lineage: Bacteria
Description: bacterial SSU rRNA
Rfam family: Bacterial small subunit ribosomal RNA
Source: RNAcentral